GUAAGUCAAAUUAUUAACAUUUUAUAUAUUCUUUUCAAAAGUUUAUGAGUGCUUUAUAAAACUAAAUAAGAUUACAAAUAGAUUCGAAUAUUCGGAAACAGAUCGGAUAGUUGUCUAUCCAUAUUCAUAUAUGUUUUUCUUUGAUUGAUAUGGAUAUGGAUAUAGACUUUUAGUCAAAUGCUUAAAUUUUUAUCCAUAGCUGGAUAGAUUUGGAUAAGAAAAAUAGAUUCAGAUGGUGGUUCACUUUUAUCUUUAUCAGAAGCUUUUCCAAAGUCCAAUUUCUAGAGAAAACCAUCCUUCUUCUUCUUUAUACAAUAAUAAAAAAUGUCACAUGCAUUUAAGAAAUUAUCGAGGACUUGCCAGCCCCAAUAUCUAAAAAUAGAGCUAACCUACACACCAUNNNNNNNNNNNNNNNNNNNNUAGAUUUUACUUUAGAAGAAUUAUAUGAAGCCUUCCAAGAGCUCAUGAGUGAUUGUAGUAUGUUAGGAGCAAAAAAUAAAGAAUUAAAGGCCUCCAAUCAAAAACUAAAGGAUGACAUUAAAAACCUAUUGAUUGAGAAGGAGAGCUUUGAAAAUGUUAACACCAUUGACCUAG
Molecule: long non-coding RNA, 594 nt
Filed under: Phoenix dactylifera (date palm)
Lineage: Eukaryota; Viridiplantae; Streptophyta; Magnoliopsida; Arecales; Arecaceae
Description: long non-coding RNA (PDAC_LNC007517)
Source: RNAcentral